Molecule: transfer RNA, 27 nt
Filed under: Drypetes glauca
Lineage: Eukaryota; Viridiplantae; Streptophyta; Magnoliopsida; Malpighiales; Putranjivaceae
Description: partial tRNA-His
Source: RNAcentral
CGAAUGUAGCCAAGUGGUCAAGGCAGU